Molecule: long non-coding RNA, 818 nt
Filed under: Heterocephalus glaber (naked mole-rat)
Lineage: Eukaryota; Metazoa; Chordata; Mammalia; Rodentia; Bathyergidae
Description: lncRNA (ENSHGLG00100033452.1)
Source: RNAcentral
CGCUGUGUCUCGGGGAAGUCGAAGGUUGCCAUUGGAGUGGUUCCCUUGCUCUCCAUAUGACCCUCAGCAGGUGAAGGGCGGUGUGGCUCUCGAAUGGCCAGGUUCUCAGUUUGACAGUUGCACCUGCUCCCAGUCUUCCGGGUCUUGAGCACCUGUGGGUGUGGAGGUCUCUGUGGAGUCCUGGGGCCAGUGCACCGUGGAUGUUGAGAGAUGGCUGCAUAUAUGAAGUGAGAUGUGAGGAUUCGACAUGAAACACCAGGAGGAAUCUGCACUGAUAUUUCAGGAGCCAAUGGACAGGCACUGAGGCUGUGCCACGUCAUGACGAACUUUGUCUCCACGGAGAAGACUUAAAACUCAGCCACGGUCCCCCUUGAGCGCUCCUCUGGUUUGCAUUAGAAAUGCGUCUUCUCUGAUUCAGGCAUCUACUUCGGUGUACAGAGUGAGGUGGGGAAGUGAUUCAAGGCGAUCCUGUUGACUCUGUGUAGCUCAAGAUGUCAGCUCCAGGGGUGUGUGGCCAGCGAGGCUCUGGGCCCCCAUGGAAACAGAGAAGAUGUAGCAGCCUUUGUGCGAGGCCUGGGCAGGGGCUCCCCACCUUCUCUCCUCAGAUCAAGAGUGCUGUCCAUUUCCAGGCAGGAAAAUACUUGGCUGCUCUUUGAUAACCGCAAAGAGUAGACGGGAAGACAGCAAGGACAUUGAAAGAAAAAUGGAGAAUGGAGGACUUGUAUUAGAGAGGGAGGAAAACAAGUUUCAAAUGGAAUUAGUCAAAUACAUGCACGCUCUCAGAACCAAUAGGGCUUUUUUUCUACUUUGACCAUAGA